UAAGGAUUUAAGUUAAAUUCUAAACUAUUAGCCUUCAAAGUUAAAAAUAGGAAAAAGCCUAAGCCUU
This 67-nucleotide transfer RNA is filed under the name Leiochrinini sp. 2 ACP-2013. RNAcentral's name for it is "tRNA-Trp". The record is from RNAcentral. Lineage: Eukaryota; Metazoa; Arthropoda; Insecta; Coleoptera; Tenebrionidae.